This 72-nucleotide ribosomal RNA is filed under the name Drosophila mojavensis. Lineage: Eukaryota; Metazoa; Arthropoda; Insecta; Diptera; Drosophilidae. The record is from RNAcentral.
GCCAACGAGCAUACCACGCUGAGUACAUCGGUUCUCGUCCGAUCACCGAAAUUAAGCAGCGUCGGGGAAUCC